This 71-nucleotide transfer RNA is filed under the name Cordylochernes scorpioides. RNAcentral's name for it is "tRNA-Ala". The record is from RNAcentral. Lineage: Eukaryota; Metazoa; Arthropoda; Arachnida; Pseudoscorpiones; Chernetidae.
AGUCUGUAUCGGGGUUCGAACCCGGGGCCUUUCACAUGCGAGGCGAACGCUCUACUACUGAGUUACACCCC